This 211-nucleotide ribosomal RNA is filed under the name Staphylococcus pseudintermedius. Its description in RNAcentral is "partial 23S ribosomal RNA". It matches the Rfam family "Bacterial large subunit ribosomal RNA", at positions 2715 to 2925 of the family's 2925-position model. The record is from RNAcentral. Lineage: Bacteria; Bacillati; Bacillota; Bacilli; Caryophanales; Staphylococcaceae.
UACCAGUUGUCGUGCCAACGGCAUAGCUGGGUAGCUAUGUAUGGACGGGAUAAGUGCUGAAAGCAUCUAAGCAUGAAGCCCCCCUCGAGAUGAGAUUUCCCAACUUCGGUUAUAAGAUCCCUCAAAGAUGAUGAGGUGAAUAGGUUCGAGGUGGAAGCGUAGCGAUACGUGGAGCUGACGAAUACUAAUCGAUCGAAGACUUAAUCAACAU